UACGGGGGAUGCAAGCGUUAUCCGGAAUUAUUGGGCGUAAAGCGCCUGUAGGUUGUUUAGUAAGUCUGUUGUUAAAGAUUAGGGCUUAACCCUAGAAAAGCAAUGGAAACUACUAAACUUGAGUAUAGCAGGGGUAGAGGGAAUUUCUAGUGUAGUGGUGAAAUGCGUAGAUAUUAGAAAGAACACCGGCGGCGAAAGCGCUCUACUGGACUAUUACUGACACUCAGAGGCGAAAGCUAGGGGAGCAAAAGGGAUUAGAUACCCCUGUAGUCCUAGCCGUAAACGAUGGAUACUAGAUGUUGUGCAAUUUGUACAGUAUCGUAGCUAACGCGUUAAGUAUCCCGCCUGGGGAGUACGCUCGCAAGAGUG
RNAcentral lists this ribosomal RNA (369 nucleotides) under uncultured phototrophic eukaryote. RNAcentral's name for it is "SSU rRNA". It matches the Rfam family "Bacterial small subunit ribosomal RNA", at positions 524 to 896 of the family's 1533-position model. The record is from RNAcentral.